CUUAAUUUGUUCAUUUAUUUACAACAGAAUUACAAAUGUUCCACUGUUACAGGCAAGACAUAUCAAACAAAUAUUAGAGCUAAAAAAGGUUCCUUACAGUGUGAUACACAAUAACAGAACCAAAUAAUCAAGCUAGUUACAAGUUAGUAAGGAGCAGAGCUACUAACCGGAGGAGGAAAUAAAUUAUCUUUGAAGAGAAUACACGUUGCUUGUAUCAUACAAACAGAAUUCAGCACCGAAAAACUUAUUCACUCUUCACCCUCGCAGAGUUCAUCACUCGAUUCACCCUCACAUAAUUCAUCACUCGUUUCAAUACAAAGAAUGCAGACUGCAAGAGUUCAAUAAAACAAAAAACAAAACAAAAGGCACAAAAAACAAAAUUACAACAUUACAACAUUUAAUGAUAACUUUAUCAAUCCAGGAGCUGAUUGCACGAGCAAAUCAUAUAAUCAACCUAACAAAACUGAUCUUAACCCUUCUCUCUGUAAGAAUUUUGUGGUAACAUAUUUACUCAUAAUUACUAAAAACCUAAUAGUGUUUUGGUAAAAAAGAAUUCAAGAUCGAUUUGAUUUCUAUGUUUAUUAAUGUCACUCCCUAUAUGCAAAUAUUCACUUUAUCUUCUAUAUCUCAUACAAACCCUAUUCUUUCAUCUCAACCCCAAAUCCAGUUCUGAUUCACUCUUCUAGUUCUCAAAAUUCUUUUUCCUAAAUCUCAAAAUCCUGUAAACCUCUCCUCCUCUCACAGCCCACCUUCUCCCAAAUUUUCUUUUCACAACCAUAACCAGUAAAUCCUAUUUUGCUCUCCCUUUUUCUAUUCCUACUGCAUUUUUAUUUCUUUAAUAUUAGACUCUUCCACACUGAUACAUUUCUCGUCACUCCUUCUCCUCAACUCAUCAACUCCAACGUAGAAUAUUUCAACUGGGUCACGACAAUCUUUAGAAAAAACAUGAAAAGUAUUUGAAAAAAGUUAACCUUGAUUCUUCUUCUCCGCUUGUACCACCGCUGCCUGCCGUCAAGUGUCGUUGACUCUACUUUGUGCUGUCGUUCACCGUAUGUUGUCGUCCACCAUGCCCCGUCGUCUGCCGUUGUCUGCCGUCGACUUUGUAUUGCCGUCUGUCGUCGACCUACGGUUGCU
Molecule: long non-coding RNA, 1134 nt
Filed under: Vigna radiata
Lineage: Eukaryota; Viridiplantae; Streptophyta; Magnoliopsida; Fabales; Fabaceae
Description: long non-coding RNA (VRAD_LNC006901)
Source: RNAcentral